CUUCCACCUAAGCUGCGCAGGAAAGGCCCAAAGCCAAUCCCAGGGAACAGUGAAGCUUCAUAGGGUCUUUCUGUCCAGGUGCAGGUAGUCCGCAUCUUCACAGACAUGUCUAUUUCACCGAGCCUCUCUCCGAGACAGUGCCCAGAUCGUUACGCCUUUCGUGCGGGUCGGAACUUACCCGACAAGGAACUUCGCUACCUUAGGACCGUCAUAGUUACGGCCGCCGUUUACUAGGGCUUCGGUCGCAAGCUUCGCUUUCGCUAACCUUCUUCCUUAACCUACUAGCACCGGGCAGGCGUCAGACUCUAUACUUCCUCUUACGAGUUUGCAGAGUCCUGUGUUUUUGAUAAACAGUCGCUUGGGCCUAUUCACUGCGGCUCUUCUGGGCUUGCACCCUAAAGAGCACCCCUUCUCCCGAAGUUACGG
Molecule: unclassified non-coding RNA, 426 nt
Filed under: Hevea brasiliensis (rubber tree)
Lineage: Eukaryota; Viridiplantae; Streptophyta; Magnoliopsida; Malpighiales; Euphorbiaceae
Source: RNAcentral